This 497-nucleotide ribosomal RNA is filed under the name uncultured bacterium. Its description in RNAcentral is "partial 16S ribosomal RNA". It matches the Rfam family "Bacterial small subunit ribosomal RNA", at positions 899 to 1397 of the family's 1533-position model. The record is from RNAcentral.
ACUCAAAUGAAUUGACGGGGGCCCGCACAAGCAGUGGAGCAUGUGGUUUAAUUCGAUGCAACGCGAAGAACCUUACCCAGGCUCGAAAUGUAGAGGACGAUAUCAGAGAUGAUAUUUCCCGCAAGGGUCUUUAUAUAGGUGCUGCAUGGCUGUCGUCAGCUCGUGCCGUGAGGUGUUUGGUUAAGUCCAGCAACGAGCGCAACCCUUAUCAUUAGUUGCCAACACGCGAGGUGGGGACUCUAAUGAGACUGCCUAGGUUAACUAGGAGGAAGGUGAGGAUGACGUCAAGUCCGCAUGGCCUUUAUGUCUGGGGCUACACACGUGCUACAAUGGUCGGUACAGAAGGCUGCAAGACCGCAAGGUGGAGCAAAUCCGUAAAGCCGAUCUCAGUUCAGAUUGUAGUCUGCAACUCGACUACAUGAAGUUGGAAUUGCUAGUAAUGACGGGUCAGCAACACCGUCGUGAAUACGUUCCCGGGCCUUGUACACACCGCCCGU